Molecule: ribosomal RNA, 919 nt
Filed under: uncultured bacterium
Lineage: Bacteria
Description: bacterial SSU rRNA
Rfam family: Bacterial small subunit ribosomal RNA
Source: RNAcentral
UAACAGGUCGCUGUGAUCUCUUCGGAGUGAACUUGACGCUGACGAGUGGCGGACGGGUGAGUAAUACUUAGGAAUCUACCCAGUAGUGGGGGACAACUUCCGGAAACGGGAGCUAAUACCGCAUACACCCUAAGGGGAAAAGUGGAGGAUCUUCGGACUUCACGCUAUUGGAUGAGCCUAAGUCGGAUUAGCUUGUUGGUGAGGUAAAGGCUCACCAAGGCAACGAUCCGUAGCUGGUCUGAGAGGACGAUCAGCCACACUGGGACUGAGACACGGCCCAGACUCCUACGGGAGGCAGCAGUGGGGAAUAUUGGACAAUGGGCGCAAGCCUGAUCCAGCAAUACCGCGUGUGUGAAGAAGGCCUGCGGGUUGUAAAGCACUUUCAGUAGAGAAGAAAAGCUUAGGGUUAAUACCCCUGAGUCUUGACGUAACCUACAGAAGAAGCACCGGCUAACUCCGUGCCAGCAGCCGCGGUAAUACGGGGGGUGCAAGCGUUAAUCGGAAUUACUGGGCGUAAAGCGCGCGUAGGCGGUUUGAUCAGUCGGAUGUGAAAGCCCUGGGCUCAACCUGGGAAUGGCAUUCGAUACUGUCAAGCUAGAAUGUGGGAGAGGCAAGUGGAAUUUCCGGUGUAGCGGUGAAAUGCGUAGAGAUCGGAAGGAACACCAGUGGCGAAGGCGGCUUGCUGGCCCAACAUUGACGCUGAGGUGCGAAAGCGUGGGGAGCGAACAGGAUUAGAUACCCUGGUAGUCCACGCCGUAAACGAUGAGAACUAGAUGUCGGAAGGGUUUAGCCUUUCGGUGUCGCAGCUAACGCGUUAAGUUCUCCGCCUGGGGAGUACGGUCGCAAGACUAAAACUCAAAGGAAUUGACGGGGACCCGCACAAGCGGUGGAGCAUGUGGUUUAAUUCGAUGCAACGCGA